This 420-nucleotide ribosomal RNA is filed under the name bacterium. RNAcentral describes it as "partial 16S ribosomal RNA". It matches the Rfam family "Bacterial small subunit ribosomal RNA", at positions 355 to 776 of the family's 1533-position model. The record is from RNAcentral.
UGGGGGAUAUUGCACAAUGGGCGAAAGCCUUAUGCAGCGACGCCGCGUGGGGGAUGAAGGCUUUCGGGUUGUAAACCUCUUUCGCUAUCGAACAAGGCCCGCUUAGGGUGGGUUGAGGGUAGGUGGAGAAGAAGCGCCGGCUAACUACGUGCCAGCAGCCGCGGUAAUACGUAGGGCGCGAGCGUUGUCCGGAAUUAUUGGGCGUAAAGGGCUUGUAGGCGGCUUGUUGCGCCUGCUGUGAAAACGCGGGGCUUAACUUCGCGCGUGCAGUGGGUACGGGCAGGCUUGAGUGUGGUAGGGGUGACUGGAAUUCCAGGUGUAGCGGUGGAAUGCGCAGAUAUCUGGAGGAACACCGAUGGCGAAGGCAGGUCACUGGGCCAUUACUGACGCUGAGGAGCGAAAGCAUGGGUAGCGAACAGG